GUAGGUGGCAAGCGUUGUCCGGAAUUAUUGGGCGUAAAGCGCGCGCAGGUGGUUCUUUAAGUCUGAUGUGAAAGCCCCCGGGCUCAACCGGGGAGAGUCAUUGGAAACUGGGGAACUUGAGUGCAGGAGAGGAAAGUGGAAUUCCACGUGUAGCGGUGAAAUGCGUAGAUAUGUGGAGGAACACCAGUGGCGAAGGCGACUUUCUGGCCUGUAACUGACACUGAGGCGCGAAAGCGUGGGGAGCAAACAGGAUUAGAUACCCUGGUAGUCCACGCCGUAAACGAUGAGUGCUAAGUGUUGGGGGGUUUCCGCCCCUCAGUGCUGCAGCUAACGCAUUAAGCACUCCGCCUGGGGAGUACGGCCGCAAGACUG
Molecule: ribosomal RNA, 372 nt
Filed under: uncultured organism
Description: partial 16S ribosomal RNA
Rfam family: Bacterial small subunit ribosomal RNA
Source: RNAcentral